UUCGGUAUCCUGUGUUGCUUACCUAUCGAAAGGAAUCCGACGGUUUCGUUGGUCCCUCUCCGCCCCAUGCCCUCGCGGGUUGUGGGGUGGACGUCAGGCAAGCCUCGUGUUCCCGGCACGCUUCGCCCAGUUGCGUGGCUGCCUCGGCCCACGAGUGCACCGCCCGUGCUCUCGGAUGCGGAACGUUAUGCGUGGGCGCGGGGCCUGUUGGCUCCGUCCGCCCGAGCAACGCAUUUGUCCAUCGACACGAACGACCGUCGCGCCCGUCUCGAGCCGCGGCCGUUAGGCCAGUCGGGUCUCGUGCGGGCGUCAACGUCGCGAAGGAAUGCUACCUGGUUGAUCCUGCCAGUAGUCAUAUGCUUGUCUC
RNAcentral lists this unclassified non-coding RNA (367 nucleotides) under Bursera ovata. RNAcentral's name for it is "partial external transcribed spacer". Lineage: Eukaryota; Viridiplantae; Streptophyta; Magnoliopsida; Sapindales; Burseraceae. The record is from RNAcentral.